UAAAGAUUAGUUUGUGGCCAAGCAAG
This 26-nucleotide non-coding RNA is filed under the name Mus musculus (house mouse). Lineage: Eukaryota; Metazoa; Chordata; Mammalia; Rodentia; Muridae. The record is from RNAcentral.